Molecule: ribosomal RNA, 496 nt
Filed under: uncultured bacterium
Lineage: Bacteria
Description: bacterial SSU rRNA
Rfam family: Bacterial small subunit ribosomal RNA
Source: RNAcentral
GAUGAACGCUAGCGGCAGGCUUAAUACAUGCAAGUCGAGGGGCAUCAAGGUACACGAAAGUGUAUUGUUGGCGACCGGCGGACGGGUGAGUAAUAGGUAGGUAACCUACCUCAUACUGAGGCAUAGCUGGGAGAAAUUCCAGGUAAUUCCUCAUGAGGUUAUAUGACACAUGUGAUAUAAUCAAAGGUAUCGCAAGGUACUGGUAUGAGAUGGGCUUACUGACCAUUAGCUAGUUGGUGAGAUAAGAGCUCACCAAGGCGAAGAUGGUUAGGGGUUUUGAGAGAGAGAUCCCCCACAUUGGAACUGAGAGACGGUCCAGACUCCUACGGGAGGCAGCAGUAGGGAAUAUUGGGCAAUGGGCGAAAGCCUGACCCAGCCAUGCCGCGUGAAGGAAGACGGCCUUAUGGGUUGUAAACUUCUUUACUACGCGAAUAGAGGUUAGUACGAGAUACUAAUAGGAAGGUAGUGUAGUAAAAGCACCGGCUAACUCCGUGCC